This is an RNA transcript of Mus musculus (house mouse), 10343 nucleotides long. It is a transcript of the gene named predicted gene, 16867, with no coding region annotated. The record is from RefSeq and is a predicted model, not a curated record. The transcript is spliced from 5 exons. Lineage: Eukaryota; Metazoa; Chordata; Mammalia; Rodentia; Muridae.
UGGGCCCUAGCAGAAUACAAAACGAGCACAUAUCCAAGUGUAUCCUCAAUUCUAGAUUCCUACAAGCACUCUAUUGUCCAACCACUCCGCUUCAUAAUUGACAUUCCCAGUAACAGACCUCACCUCCUACCAGAUCCCCAGCCUUCGGAAUGCUAAAGCUGGUUGAUUAGUGUCUGCAAAACUACCGAUUCUGGGGACAGCCCCUUCUCCUGCUCUUGCAGCUCUGAGCAUAUCCCUUCUGCUGACUCUCCCCAGGGACCUGACUGUCCCUUGCAGAUGGUCACCACCCUCUAGGUAGUACAACUUCCCGGGACACCCCAAUGUCUGCUCUCGCCCCCGUCCGGUUGCUUGGAAAUGUGCAGCGGGCAGCGACGUCACACAGAGAGGUGGGUGCCCUCUGCCCGGCGCACCAAUAGCGCGGCCACGGCCGGCCUCUUCUUCUCCAGCUAUUGGUGCUUCUGGCCGCUCGGCUCCACCCCAGCCCGCCAUGGCGUCAGCCGCCGCAACCCGGGGGAGGAGGUUCCCACUUUAAGAAGUGAAGUUUUCCUCCCCCUCCCCCUCCUGCCCACCUCCUGCCGCCUCCCGCGCCCCGCGGGGCCGCGGAUGGAGCUCCGCCGUGGCGGCGUGGGGAACCAGGCUGCGGGCCGGAGGAUGGAUGGGGACUGCCGCGAUGGCGGCUGCGGCAGCAAGGACGCCGGGUCGGAGGACUACGAGAACCUACCGACCAGCGCCUCGGUGUCCACCCACAUGACAGCGGGAGCGAUGGCCGGGAUUCUGGAGCACUCCAUCAUGUACCCGGUGGACUCCGUGAAGGGUCACUGUUCAGCUUCCCUGAACCUGAAGUUCAUCAAUUCAGCCAGGAUGGUUGGUCCAACAGCUUCAUGGAUGGGGCUGUCUUCUCUCCCCAACGCACAGCCCUACAGAAGAGCAGACCUACAAACCUAUACUUGAGUUCUAUCUGCCACAGGCUUGGGUGAUCUGUAACUCAGUCAACUACUGACACAAACCUCGUCCUCAUUUCCAAAGUCAAAGCGAUGUCCAAGCAGACAGACUGCCACAAAGACUCAACAAGUUGGUGGUUGGAACUGAAGUUCUCUGAAGAAGCCACAUGUGCCGUGAAGAUCCGCAAGACAGACUAUGGCUUUCUGUUUAUGAAUAGGUGGGAUGUUGUAAAUUAAAAGGUAAGAUUACCUUGUGCUCUUUAGUCUUCUCACUAGUCGCUUACUACCACCUUCCACAUCUUUUUUUUGUGACUAUUGGGUACAACUUUGGGAAUGCACUGUUAACCUUAGCACACUGCUAGCCUCCAACUCUACAGCUAAGAAUGUUAUAAAUCAAAGAGCCAAGUUAAGCUCGGAGCCCCAGAUGCCCUGCCUAAGGACAAGGUAACUUCCUGGAACGCUGGGGGCUUUCGUUCUUGGGAGAUAACAAGUCACAUGUUUUCACUCCGCUAAACUGUUUGACCCAUCUACACUGAAUGUGCCUGAUCACAUGUGGGGAGAGGUAUGUAGGUAGGAAAUGUCAGGAUGUAUGCUUGCCCCUGAUUAUUGAGCAUGGUGGGAAAAGCAAUCAGUUGCGGGUUUUUUUUUUUUUUUUUUUUUUUUUUUUUUUUUGGUUUUUCGAGACAGGGUUUCUCUGUAUAGCCCCUGCUGUCCUGGAACUCUGUAGACCAGGCUGGCUUUGAACUCAGAAAUCUGCCUGCCUCUGCCUCCCGAGUGCUGGGACUAAAGGCGUGUGCCACCACGCCCAGCCUUUGCCUUUUUAAGCUCCUGCAAAUGUGACCUGUGGCUAUUCCCUGAGAACCCAGUGGUGGCCUUGGCUAGUGUUUAAUUAAAGCCUGCUUCAAAUUUGGCUCAAAAUUGUGGAACUGAUUUUUCCUCUCUCUUGAAUCUCUGGAUUAACAAUAACAGGCAGAUUAUAGCAGAAUAGGAAAACCUCCCCUGAAAGAUUCAACUGUUACUGUUACCACCAACAGUUCAUAUGGGGCAAAUGAAUUGACUUAUAAUUUUUGUGCUCUGAUUAUAAAAGGUCAUAUGAUCACCUCCUCAAUGAAAUACAUUAUCCAGAGUAACACAGACCCAUGCUCGUAGGCCAUAGCUAUUCAUACUUAGUUCACAAUGAACUCAAGGCAAAAGUGAUUGUUCUAGUGUCAGUUCUGUUGUGAUAACCUACAAAAAGCACCUUUGGGGAAGGUAAGAGUUGAUUUGGCUUGCAGUUCUAGGUUACAAGUUCACCAUUGAGAGCAAACAAGGAAAGCACUUAAACAGAUAGUCAUAUCACACUGACAGCCCAGAGCAGAGAGGAUGAUGCACCCUAUUCCUCCUGCUUGCUCUUGUUCUCAGCUAGUUUUCUCUUCUUUUAUACUGCAUUAGAGCCAAACCUAGGGAAUGGUGCUACUCAUAGUGGGCUGGAUGUCACUACAUCAACUAACAGUCAAGAUAAACUCCCAUAGACAUGCCAGCCUGAUCUAGGCAAUUCCACAGCUGAUACUCUCUCUUGGUGAUUCUCAGUUGUGGCAAGUUGAGAUUUGAAAUCAAGCAGUGGGCUGGAGAGAUGGCUCCACUGUUAAAGGCUGGGCUCACAAUCCAAACCAACCAGCACAGUGGUAUUUUACAUCCAUGUUAGUAAUAGUAAUGAGAUUAGAAAUUUUCUAAAAGUAAAGCCUUUAAGCUUAGUGCCCUGUUAAGCUUUUCUUGUCACUUGGGAUGAGAGAAUUGCUAUGAAAGAAUCAUCUUGAUUAGAUUGCCCUGUGGCCCUGUCUUUGAAAGAGCGAUUGUCUUACUGUGGAAGGCGAGUCGCACCAUCUCUGGGCAGGUGGUUCUGGGCUGCAUGCAAAAGCCAGCCGAGCGUGAGCCAGGGAGCAAGUCAGUCAGUAAGCAGCAUUUCCCCAACGGUUCUGCUUCAGUUCUUGCCCUGACUUCCCGCAGAGGUGGACUGUGACCUGGAGGUGUACGCUAAAAUAAAUUCUUUAAUCUCCAAAGUUGCUUUUGGUCAUCGUGUCUUUCACAGCAACAGAAAACACACCAGAACACUUAGAACUUCAGACUGGAUUAAGGUGGAAUUCAUAUUGCCACUGGAAAACCCAAGGGAACAGCAAGAGCCCACUGGGAAUUUCUUAGAAAGAAUAUGGUGAAAGUUGGCUCCAAACAAGGAGCCAGAAAGGUAUUUACUGUUACUAUCUAUGGAGAGUGACCGAGAACAAAAUCAACCCAGUCAAGAACAAAUUAAAAAAUUAAUUUGAGGCUAGUCAGGCUUGCAACCUGAAAGACAGUCUUGAAAACUGGAUCUGAGACUUUCCAAAAUGGUGGCUGUAUGGAUAGCUUUGCUGACAGGAAAACUGGAAACCACACUACUUGUUAAAAAUUAUGAUUGAUUCUGGAAAAAGCCAAGCUGUCUUGCAGAAAAGGUUUUGGGGGCUAACUUGGUGUCCAUGCAGUUUGGUGGAAGAAGUCUGUUGUAUUGGCCAGCCCAAGUUAACCAUGUUUCAGAUAACUGUUGCUCAGUUCAAAGGUUCACUCUCAAGUGGCUAAGAUCUGGUGAACCAUGGCCUCCCAAUGCCAUGUUAAGUGCUCAAACCAAUGCUAUUUCAUUUUGAUUUUCAUUGACAAUACAAUUAUUAAAAAAAAACAAAAACCUAUGGAGGCUGGAAAGAUGGCUCAGCAGUUAAGAGCACUGACUGCUCUUCCAGAGAUCCUGAGUUCAAUUCCCAGCAACCACAUGUUAGUUCAAAACUAUCUGUAAUGGGAUUUGAUGUGUCUUCUGGUGUGUUUGAAGACAGUGACUGUAUACUCACAUAUAUAAAAUAAAUCUUUUUAAAAUUAAGAACUUUUUGUCUACGUGUGUGUGUGCGUGCCACAUUGUCACACAUGUGCAGUGCCCAUGAAGGUCAUAGGAGGGCAUGAGAUUGCCUGGAGUUAUAGACAAUUGUGGGUGCUGGGAAGUGAACUCAAAAUGCUUUGCAAAAGCAGCUAACACUCUUAACUACUGAGUCAUCUCUCAAGCCCCCAGUCAUUUCUUUAUCUAUAUGUAAAUAGGUACUUCAAAAUGAAAACCUUACUUUUGUGUGUGAAUGCACACAUGUGGCCAUGUGUGGGAAGGGCAGGGAUCAACUCCCAUGUAGUUCCUCAGAUGCUGUCUAGCUUGGUUUUUGAGGUGGAAUCUCGGCUGGCUGGCCCAGGGAUCCCCCUGUCUCUGCAGGCUGUGCUAGGAGUACAAGCAUGUGCCACAGCGGGUGGCUUUUCACAUGGGUUCUGGGUUUCAAACUCAGCUCCUCGCGCCUGCACGGCAAGAGCUUCACCCCUUGAGCCCCCUCCAGACCACAGUGACCUUAUAAGCAGCUGCCUCGGUUAGGCCCCUAGAGGCCUAACAGUGCGAGCUGGUUAAGUCCUGUUCCCAGGGAAGCUCCUGGUUUCUGUGCUAUCGGUCGGACUUGGUGCCCACAGCCCUCAGUCUUUUCUUGCUGCAAGCUCAACAUAACAAAACCAAAGCGUGUAGACGCAGCUUAGUUUGCUGAAUUUAGACUCGAAUUCAGCCAGUCAUUCUAACAAGAUUCAGAAUUCGCAGCGGAGUCUAUUUAAAUCGCAAGGAGAAAAGCACACAGGGGCUCUGGUUCCCUGGAUGACAGUUAUUUUCAGCAUCCAUCCAUGCCUAAAUGUGUGACAGCAGCCUGCCUAACCUGGAAAGUAGACACACGGGUGCUUCCCAAAACAUUACUUAGUUUAAAAGACAUCUAUCACUUAAAAACAAACAAACAAACAAACAAAAUUUAAAGGUACUCCCUUAGAUUUGUAAUCCCUAACUGUAAAACAUCUCAGGCACACAGCAUUCUCCCAGGCUGUUCACACUGCGUAUCACGCAGAGCUGUGUUUCUCAACCUGUGGUCCCGACCCCCUUGGAGGGGUGAAUGACCUUUCCAUAGGGGUCGCCUAAGACUAUAUCCAUAUCAGAUAUUUACAUUAUGGCACAUAACAGUAGCAAAAUUACAGUUAUGAAACCAUAACAAAAAUGACUUUUCUGGUUGGGGGUGGGGUUCACCACAUGAGGAACUGUAUCAAGGGUCGCAGCAUCAGGAAGGUUGAGAACCACCGACCUAGAGGGAAACUCAACACUGGAGAAAAACGGAGCACUGAAGUAUGUGAAAUGCUUUAAGUAGAGGCAGUUUUGCUGCAUUGCACGUUAUCUAUCACACACGACUCCCGAGUGGAGAUGGUGUGCUUUUUAAAGCUCAGAAAACACAUUUGCCUUUUUAGUGUCUUACUGACACGUGCUUCUCAUAAGGAACACUAUUCCAUGUAGACCUGAGUUAAAAUGAGUGUCUGCUUAAGGCUGGUUACACUGCAGUGCGUGGGGUCGGUAACAAUGGACAGUGACCUACCUUAAGGUGGUCAAGCGGAGACCAAUGACACUGGCCUUAAGCUGCCAGCUUCUCCAUCACCUAUGCCUGAGGUGGGAGCUCAGCUAAAGCCAGAGGUUUAGGUAUGAAAUGUGCACAGCCCGAAGGGUGUGGCUCUAGGUUUUCCUUUUUCUAUCAAGAUGUUUCAAGACUGAUGUGUGGUUACUUCCCAUCUGGGUACUGAACAGCAGCUCGGGACAGCAGCUUGUUUCCCUUGUAGCAGCAGCUCGUUCUCACAGGCAGAGUUUGAACCGGCAAUGUCCCCGUGGGCUUCUGUGUUAGAGACGAGGCCCCUGACUCUGUGUUAGGGGAGGCAGAGGAACUGUGAGAUGGGGCUUAAGCAGGAUGUUCUCAGGUCACUAGGGUGUGCCCUUGAAGGGGAGUGUGCCCCCACCCCUUGCUCUUGGCUGAGAAGCAGUGGUUCUGUGCUCGCCCUGGUUCUUGCCAUACUGUGCUGUCUCAGCACUGGACCUAAACAGGGCCCAAAAACACCUCUGAAGGACACCUCUGAAACCGUGAUAAAGGUAACCUUUUCUCUUUGUAAGCUGAUUAUCUCAGAAUUUGUUGUAGUAACAGGAAGCCAAUACAACAACAGCCAGCAAAUUUUUCUAUAAAGGGACAUUUGUAAAUAUUUCAGAUCUUAUAAGGCCAGGAAGUCUCUGUUUUUUGUUUUUCUUGGUAGGAAUUAGAUUGCAACCUGCCUUGAAAUCUUUAUGCUUUUGCCUCAGCCUCCCCAUGCUGGGAUUACUUUUUUUUUUUUUUUUCUUGAGAUGGUAGUAGCUGGAAAUUUCCUAUGUAGAUCAGGCUGGCCUUUAAACUCACAGAGGUCUAUCUGCCUGUCCCUGCCUCACAAGGGAUUAACAGUGUGCAUGCCAAGUCCUGCUAAAGCAAUCCUUUCAGAAGUUGAAAAUAAUGUUCUUAGCUCAAAGGCUAAGAUCUGCAGUGGUUAUUAGGUCUUGCUCCAGGAGCUAUCGGAUAAUCGCCGGCGGUGUGGCCCUGGGAACCCUAGCCAGGGGACUGCUUUGAAGAUUAAGGCUGGUCCUUGCAGCAGGGACCGGUUACAGGCUGAGAGCUGAGUGCCUGCUUGUUCCCAUUCUGGCCCCACACUGCAAGCGCAGGACGAGAUAAGCAUCUUCUCUACCUAAAGCAGAGGAAGGACAUCUUAAAGAAGGUAGGCAGAUUUCAGCAGGUUCUUAUACUGGCUUUCGCUUGCCUUGGCUGUAAAGGCAGAUGCCCCAAACUCCAGGUGGUGUUUACACAUUUUCAGAUGAUGGGGCCUUGCCAUUCCUUCUGCCUGGCAUUGGGAGAGAGGUUCAAAUAAAGUCUAACACCACCUUUCCUCUUCAUCAGACAGUUCACAGGUCUCUCUCUCUCUCUCUCUCUCUCUCUCUCUCUCUCACACACACACACACACACACACACACACACACACACAGAGAGACAGAGACAAAGAGAGAGAGACAGACAGACACAGGCACAGAGAGAUGCACACACACGCCGGCUCAGAAAUUCAAGGGAAAGACGUCAGCAUGGUGACAGCUAGGACUCUAAUGACCAGCUCACCUGUGGCAGGAUUAAAGCUGCUGGUGGCUUCAGAAACUGACCCUCUCAAAUUUACAGAAUAUUUAUACCAGUGCAUGUCUCCUGGAGCAUGAUCCGCACAGAGGCUAAUGUCAUGCCCCUAACUUCCACUGGUGUCUUUCAUCUACAAUGGUCAUGUUGAAGAGAUGAGGAACUUGGGUUUCUUUCAUAAAUGUGAAGUCUUAAGUGGCCAAUGUGACAUGCGCCACAUCUUCUCUCUCUAAGGGUGACAGGGCUUUGGAGUCGCAGUUCUUCUCUCUCAGUUUUGAAUAAGCAGCUGAAGGUUCUCCAAAUACCCGUCUACUGCCAACUACUUCAACUUACGUGCUAUGGAGGUAGGAAGUAUGUGCGUCACCAUCACUACCAAGACAAAACGACCCCCAUGUGCAGGGAUCCCCACAUUUCUGACAUAAAUCAACAGCAUAAGAACAAACGAGCAAGUGGACGAAUGAACGAAUGAAUGAGCGUAGCUCCCACUAGCCUCGCAUGUCCCUGGUUGUCCUUUUCAGGUUUCUGUUUAAAAUGUCAAGUCUGUUUUCAACGUGUGCAUUUAUUUCUUAUUUUAAAUUCAGGCUCUUCCACGGUGUGGGCUUACAGUGGCAUUGCCAACGACAGCUGCAACCACAGCGUGACAACAAGGACUGUCAAGCAAUGUGUGGGGUGUCCUGAAGAAAAACAGUGAAGAGAUCUGAACAGUGGGACGACAGCUCAGAAGAGGAAGAGCCUGGAGCAGCUAGCUCAACAGCACAGACCUUCGGCUCAGAGGCGCUGGGCACCUGUAGGGCACACUCAGCUCUCUCUCAGACCACUGGACCAGGGGAACUUUAAGAACUUUCUGGUUUAAAAACAAACAAACAAAACAAAUGAGCACUCAAACAAACCCCAAGGCUGCUCUGAGAGGGCCACAGAGAUUCUCAGCACAGGACAAGCGCGGCUGCUUUGCAGGUGUGUGCUUGUCUGCGGCAGAGCGUGGCUCGCCUCUGGAGCUCUCAUCACUGACCACUCUUCAGUGUCACCUCCCUGUGCCACCAUCUUGUUGAUUUUUCCUAUGAAAGACUAAAGUCUUACAUCUGUCAAGAAAACACCGAUGGUGAUGGACCUGAGCAGCAAAUAAAACCAAACGCCUCCCUUCUAGGUUGAGGUGUUUGGAGAGGAAAGAGGGUCUAACUCACGGCUUGGUUCUGUCCCAGGACACUCUGAAGUGCCACCCAUGCUGAUGGGAACCUGCCACUGUCCCCUUGGCACUGCAUUCAAGUGCGUGUGCUGAAAGUGCUGAUGUGUGGCAGAGUGAACUUCCUAUUCCCACCCCUCCUGUUAAAGCUGUGUUCACAAUGGUAGUCCCUCCAGACAGCAGGGCUUACAAUCAGAGGGUUUUUGUAACAGAAAGGAAAGGGGCAAACAAAACCGUCUGAGCAUACAAGAAACCCUGAGGUGAAAAUGGCUUUUCCUGUAGAGUCUUCUUCAGGCUGACGCAGUGUCUGUCACAAGGGCCCAGGGCCCUUCUGGGAGGGCAGGCCUUCCUCCAUCCACAGAGAGCCAGUGCGGGGCGCCCUGCGGUGGAUGCGCCGCAGCCGCAGCAGGUAGAGAAGGAUGGACAGAAGGACGACCAGGAAGCAACCGGAGAACAGAUAGUGGUUGUAGACGAAGGACACGCCCCGCCAGUGCGCGUGGCCAGCUCGGAACACCUCCUGCCGGAUGUCUCUGUGGCACAGAGACAAACAGAAACGACAGUGAGGAGGGUGCCAGGCAAGGUCUGCUGUUCCCAGCUUUCCUUACAUUGAGACCAGGGGAUGGCAAGCCCAAAGUGGGUUCCCUGUCAACUACGUUGUUAACACUCAGACAAUGACAUAUGGAAGCAUGUCCUUAAGACAUUAGCGUUAUCAUUUCAUCAACACACACUUGAUAAAUGUAGGUCCCAGGGUUUUGUUCUUACAAGGAAGUUAAUGGGGCAAACACAUUCAUGUGGAAAUUUGUGUAAUCAGUAACGGCUCUAAACAAAAAUUCUAAACAGAAUUUUUGGAGCUGACCCAAGUUAGAAUAGUAGAUAAAUAAGGUUUUAAAUGUGGUCAUCUGAGCUAGGUCUGAGAACUUGAAUAAAGAAAGCUGUAUGUCUUUAUGUGACCAAGUGUGGACUGGAAUCUAGUAUCUCCUUUGGUCAUGAAUCUACACAGACAAUGCCACAGUCUUAAAAGUAUUAGCGGACACUUGGGUGCUAAGGACGAUGACUGGUGCUUUGGGCCCACUCUGAAGGCCGACGCCUCAGCUGUCAGUCAUCACCACGCUGAAGGAACAGACAAGAUGGUUCUGCUACCAGACAUCGCAAGACAGUGCAUUCAUAAUGAUGUACCCCUACAUCACAAGUCUGUCUGCUACCACAGUGUCACAGAUGUGCUCAAUACAAUGGUUUCUUUUGCAAUCCUAGAUACUAUACUAUCACAGAAGGAGCCCGAAGCCAUAAGGAUCACCACUAAAUGGACCCUUCUGCGGGGGUGAGGGGACAGACAAAUGGGACAUAGGGUGGCACCACAGAGAGUUGUUAUGUUGUGGGAGAAAAGGAAGCCCCUGGGGAGGGAGAUGGAGAAGACCCAAGUUAACUAACCCAAGUUAACUAACCCAAGUUAGCUAACCCAAGUUAGUUAGUCUGGCUAGCCUCACAGCUCUGACGCAUCCACAGAAUACAGCCACCAGGAGGCAGCGCGCUCCAGAGAACCAUGCCUGUGCCUCUCCCAAUCCUACCUCAAGGGCAGGAAGCGGGUCCGGUAAAGGAUGGCCCCCAGGGUCCACUGUACUUCCUUGUCAUACACCUGCAAGGCCGUCUUCAGGUUUUUGUAGGUGACAGGAAAGGAGAAGCCUUUGUGGAACACCUCGAACAUCCAGGCUGAUUUGAAACACUGAUACCUACGGGUGCCAAGCACAGACACGGGUCGGCCAGGCACCAGACAGACUGUGCCCAGCUUGCAGCAGGCCAGCUCUGAGAAGGCGGCACAUGUGGCUGCUACGUGAUUAUUGAGCUCAGGCUGUCGCCCUGCAGAGAGGGCCGUUUACCUGUCGGGUCUGACUAGCCUGAAACAGCACCACUGAAUUGCUUCUGUGGGAUGCCUCCCUCCACAUGCCUUCAGCACGCCAUCACUUACUGAUCAAACGCUGCCGCGUUCCAGCUCCUGGAGACCCCAGCCUCUUUAUGACAGAAGGCACAGGAAACACACAAGCAGCGCGAUGUCUGUGCAGUCAACUUGAGCCUGGGCUCUGUGAGUCCCUGGAGACCAAACUGUGCUUGCCGUUUACCUGGGAAUCCUCCCACCAACAACCUCCCCGGACCGUUUAGUUCUCCCAUUGCCACGGCACCAGAAUAAACUCUGCCAAAGUGAAA